This 184-nucleotide ribosomal RNA is filed under the name uncultured Bacteroidota bacterium. RNAcentral's name for it is "uncultured Bacteroidetes bacterium partial 16S ribosomal RNA". It matches the Rfam family "Bacterial small subunit ribosomal RNA", at positions 121 to 305 of the family's 1533-position model. The record is from RNAcentral. Lineage: Bacteria; Pseudomonadati; Bacteroidota.
GCAACCUACCUUUAUCAGGGGGAUAGCCCGGAGAAAUCCGGAUUAACACCGCAUAAAAUCACAGCAUAGCAUUAUGUAGUGAUCAAAUAUUUAUAGGAUAAAGAUGGGCAUGCGUGUCAUUAGCUAGUUGGCGGGGUAACGGCCCACCAAGGCGACGAUGACUAGGGGAUCUGAGAGGAUGGCC